RNAcentral lists this ribosomal RNA (407 nucleotides) under uncultured bacterium. RNAcentral describes it as "partial 16S ribosomal RNA". It matches the Rfam family "Bacterial small subunit ribosomal RNA", at positions 30 to 526 of the family's 1533-position model. The record is from RNAcentral.
AUUGAACUCUGGCGGCAGUCCUAACACAUGCAAGUCGGGCGGAGCGGCGGACGGGUGAGUAAUGCCUAGGCAUCUGCCUGGUAGUGGGGGAUAACGUCCGUAAACGUGCGCUAAUACCGAAUACUAUCAGAUGAGCCUAGGUCGGAUUCGCUAGUUGGUGGGGUAAAGGCCUACCAAGGCGCAGAUCCGUAACUGGUCUGAGUGGAUGAUCAGUCACACUGGAACUGAGACACGGUCCAGACUCCUACGGGAGGCAGCAGUGGGGAAUAUGGGACAAUGGGCGAAAGCCUGUUCCAGCCAUGCCGCGUGUGUGAAGAAGGUCUUCGGAUUGUAAAGCACUGUAAGUUGGGAGGCGUUACCAACAGAAUAAGCACCGGCUAACUUCGUGCCAGCAGCCGCGGUAAUUC